GGCCCAUUGGUCAAGUGGUUAAGACACCGCCCUUUCACGGCGGUAACAGGGGUUCGAAUCCCCUAUGGGUCACCA
RNAcentral lists this transfer RNA (75 nucleotides) under Alkalithermobacter paradoxus. RNAcentral's name for it is "[Clostridium] thermoalcaliphilum tRNA-Glu". It matches the Rfam family "tRNA". From Rfam's summary of the family: Transfer RNA (tRNA) molecules are approximately 80 nucleotides in length. Their secondary structure includes four short double-helical elements and three loops (D, anti-codon, and T loops). Lineage: Bacteria; Bacillati; Bacillota; Clostridia; Peptostreptococcales; Tepidibacteraceae. RNAcentral also lists the same sequence under 2 other names. The record is from RNAcentral.